GAUGAACGCUGGCGGCGUGCCUAAUACAUGCAAGUCGAGCGAACAGAUGAGGAGCUUGCUCCUCUGACGUUAGCGGCGGACGGGUGAGUAACACGUGGAUAACCUACCUAUAAGACUGGGAUAACUUCGGGAAACCGGAGCUAAUACCGGAUAAUAUAUUGAACCGCAUGGUUCAAUAGUGAAAGACGGUUUUGCUGUCACUUAUAGAUGGAUCCGCGCCGCAUUAGCUAGUUGGUAAGGUAACGGCUUACCAAGGCAACGAUGCGUAGCCGACCUGAGAGGGUGAUCGGCCACACUGGAACUGAGACACGGUCCAGACUCCUACGGGAGGCAGCAGUAGGGAAUCUUCCGCAAUGGGCGAAAGAUUGACGGAGCAACGCCGCGUGAGUGAUGAAGGUCUUCGGAUCGUAAAACUCUGUUAUUAGGGAAGAACAAAUGUGUAAGUAACUAUGCACGUCUUGACGGUACCUAAUCAGAAAGCCACGGCUAACUACGUG
Molecule: ribosomal RNA, 497 nt
Filed under: uncultured bacterium
Lineage: Bacteria
Description: partial 16S ribosomal RNA
Rfam family: Bacterial small subunit ribosomal RNA
Source: RNAcentral